GAUGAACGCUGGCGGCGUGCCUAAUACAUGCAAGUCGAACGAAACUUCUUUAUCACCGAGUGCUUGCACUCACCGAUACAGAGUUGAGUGGCGAACGGGUGCGUAACACGUGGGCAACCUGCCCAAAAGAGGGGGAUAACACUUGGAAACAGGUGCUACUACCGCAUAAUCAUGGUUACCGCAUGGUAACUAUGUAAAAGGUGGCUAUACUACCGCUUUUGGAUGGGCCCGCGGCGCAUUAGCUAGUUGGUAGGGUAAAGGCUUACCAAGGCAAUGACGCGUAGCCGAAGUGAGAGGUUGAUCGGCCACAUUGGGACUGGGACACGGCCCAAACUCCUGCGGGAGGCAGCAGUAGGGAAUCUGCCACAAUGGGCGAAAGCCUGAUGGAGCAACGCCGCGUGGGUGAAGAAGGUCUUCGGAUCGUAAAACCCUGUUGUUAGAGAAGAAAGUGCGUGAGAGUAACUGUUCACGUUUCGACGGUAUCUAACCAGAAAGCCACGGCUAACUACGUG
This 512-nucleotide ribosomal RNA is filed under the name uncultured bacterium. RNAcentral describes it as "partial 16S ribosomal RNA". It matches the Rfam family "Bacterial small subunit ribosomal RNA", at positions 28 to 507 of the family's 1533-position model. The record is from RNAcentral.